Molecule: long non-coding RNA, 271 nt
Organism: Helianthus annuus (common sunflower)
Lineage: Eukaryota; Viridiplantae; Streptophyta; Magnoliopsida; Asterales; Asteraceae
Exons: 2
Source: RefSeq, a predicted model, not a curated record
UGAAAUUUUAGUUCUUUACGUUUGGUGGUGGUUUCUGUAGGCUAGCUAGGGAUUCGAUUUCGCUAAUUAUUGAUAAACAAAAUAGAGAAAAAGUGUUAUGGAAUACAAUGGUGUUAGAUGAAGAGGUAAAAUUACGGAUGAACAAUAUUGGAACAGAUGAACAAUAUAGAAACAAUGAAAACAUUCUAUUAUCAGGUGAUGUCGUUUAUAAGGUACAACUUUAGCGAUGUUAUUUACCUUGUGUGUAUUAAAUAGGCGUGUUUAGAAUUUA